This 253-nucleotide ribosomal RNA is filed under the name uncultured bacterium. RNAcentral describes it as "partial 16S ribosomal RNA". It matches the Rfam family "Bacterial small subunit ribosomal RNA", at positions 524 to 776 of the family's 1533-position model. The record is from RNAcentral.
UACAGGGGUCUCAAGCGUUGUUCGGAUUCAUUGGGCGUAAAGGGUGCGUAGGUGGCGCUGUAAGUCGGGUGUGAAAUUUCGGAGCUUAACUCCGAAACUGCAUUCGAUACUGCGGUGCUUGAGGACUGGAGAGGAGACUGGAAUUCAUGGUGUAGCAGUGAAAUGCGUAGAGAUCAUGAGGAAGACCAGUGGCGAAGGCGGGUCUCUGGACAGUUCCUGACACUGAGGCACGAAGGCCAGGGGAGCAAACGGG